GGUGGCUCAGUGGUAGAGUGCUGGCCUCACAUGCCUGAGGCCCAGGGUUCAAUUCCUCAACACCG
This 65-nucleotide transfer RNA is filed under the name Dipodomys ordii (Ord's kangaroo rat). It matches the Rfam family "tRNA". From Rfam's summary of the family: Transfer RNA (tRNA) molecules are approximately 80 nucleotides in length. Their secondary structure includes four short double-helical elements and three loops (D, anti-codon, and T loops). Lineage: Eukaryota; Metazoa; Chordata; Mammalia; Rodentia; Heteromyidae. The record is from Rfam by way of RNAcentral.